Lates calcarifer (barramundi perch) is the source of this 705-nucleotide long non-coding RNA. RefSeq lists it as uncharacterized. The transcript is spliced from 6 exons. The record is from RefSeq and is a predicted model, not a curated record. Lineage: Eukaryota; Metazoa; Chordata; Actinopteri; Centropomidae.
GGCCUGCAGUCCAGUCCGGCAAGUCGGCGUUUUUUUUCUCUUUACUGAAGUCAAAUUAUGACUAAAAACUUCACAAGGUGACGGAUAAAGCGAGUAAAUUACACAUACAACUUUUAUUCAAACUUACCUGUAUAAAAUAUGUGGCCGCCGGUGGACCGAGCACGGAUGAAAUCAAAUGUAGCAACCCAACCAGUGGAGCCAAAGAAAAAUGAAAUGGAGCGAGGAAACUCUUCAAAACGACCGAAAAAUGGCAGCACAGAGAAGAGGAGCAACAAAAAAGACAGAAAUGAACCGAGUGAAGGAGCGCGACAAAGCUGGGCAAAGACAUCAAAAUAAAGCUGGACUUCGACAAAACCAAAACCACCUCAAGUCUCCAUAAAGCAGGUAAAUAACACUGACAAGGACGCGGUGCAGUGGGAAUACAGUCAGUACGAGAGAGAGAGGAGACGAGAGAUAAGGCCGUCGGACCCAAACCAGCAUGUCUAAAACUUUUAACAGUUCAGCUCAGGACGAGGAUUGUGGUCAGGUGGCAGACAGGGAUCUCACUCCCAAGCAGUGAUUUCCAGCUUCUCCUCAGGGAUCCGGAGACGUUCCCAGACCUCCAUCUUUGUCUGCUACUCCACAGGUCUAAAACAAACUGUAGUGCUGAUGCACCAUCUCACCUUGAGGAAGACCUGCAGCUCCUGGGACUGUGUGCGCUGCAGG